RNAcentral lists this transfer RNA (72 nucleotides) under Camelus bactrianus (Bactrian camel). It matches the Rfam family "tRNA". From Rfam's summary of the family: Transfer RNA (tRNA) molecules are approximately 80 nucleotides in length. Their secondary structure includes four short double-helical elements and three loops (D, anti-codon, and T loops). RNAcentral also lists the same sequence under 1 other name. The record is from Rfam by way of RNAcentral. Lineage: Eukaryota; Metazoa; Chordata; Mammalia; Artiodactyla; Camelidae.
GUGGGUAUAGCUCAGCGGUAGAGCUCCUGCCUAGCAUGCAUGAGGCCCUGGGUUCAAUCCCCAUUACCGCUG